GCCUGGCUGGCUCAGUCAGUAGAGUGUGCGACUCUUGAUCUCGGGGUUGUGAGUUCGAGCCCCACACUGGGUG
Molecule: transfer RNA, 73 nt
Filed under: Ailuropoda melanoleuca (giant panda)
Lineage: Eukaryota; Metazoa; Chordata; Mammalia; Carnivora; Ursidae
Rfam family: tRNA
About the family: Transfer RNA (tRNA) molecules are approximately 80 nucleotides in length.
Source: Rfam by way of RNAcentral